Long non-coding RNA from Cuculus canorus (common cuckoo), 17449 nucleotides. RefSeq lists it as uncharacterized. The transcript has 7 exons. NCBI's taxonomy places the organism in Eukaryota, Metazoa, Chordata, Aves, Cuculiformes, Cuculidae. The record is from RefSeq and is a predicted model, not a curated record.
CGGCCGGAAGUGAGUUCUGCGCUCCUGGCAGCGAGCGCGCCGGAAGUUCCGCCCCCGGGGCUGCCGAGAGUGGGGGGGUGCCCCGCGCGCGGAGGGAGGUGGAGUGCUGGGCGGGUGCUUGGCCCCCACGCGCACGAUCGUAGCGGGGACCACGCAUCUCUUGGGGCGGCCUGAGCCUCGGCGGGUGCUGCUGCUUCGAGUGCGGAGAGGGCCUAGCGGUGCGGGCGAGGGGAAGGGCGCUCGGGGCGCGUCUCUUAAGGCGUUGCUUUUCUCAGUUCGCUUCUCCAGCCGCGGAUUGAAGACUUACCUACCAGCAGCUACGGAGGAUGAAUGAAUUUAAAUACAAAUGCGAACGUGUUAUGUCAAUGAACCCCCAUCACUCCGAGGAAAUUGCAGCACCCCAGCUGUAUGCUGUUCUGCUUGAAGGUAUUGAAACCCAGAUUGCUGGCCUGGUGGAAAUGCUUCAGGUAGAGGUGUACAGGUGCAGGCUCUGCCAGUUCAGAAGCAGCAUCAAAAGUAAGACCGAAACACAGCUGGCUCAUAUGCAUGAAACAGAUAGAAUCAUUAAGGUUGGGGAAGACCUCUAAGAUUAUCAAGUCUAACCGUUUGUGCAACAUCAGCAUGCCUACUAAACCACGUCACAAAGUGCUAUGCUUGCAUGUUUUUUUAACACCUCUAGGAAGGGAGACUCCACCACUUCCCUGGGCAGCCUAUUCUAAUGCUUCAUCGCUAUUAAAGUAAACUUGAAGUAAAAAAGUUUUUUCUGAUAUCGAAUCUGAACCUUCCUUGGCACAACGUGAGAUAACACAUCUCAGAUUUCAAGCUGUCCGAAAAUGGACCAAGGUGAAAAUGAGUUGCAUAGCAUGGGAGAUGAAGCUCACCAAGACAAUAAGGAAAGCAAAGAAAAUCUUGCAAAAAAUGUCUUAUUGUCUGUGUACCAGAUGCUUCAAAAUAGGAGUCCUCACUCUUGUGAUGUAAGACCAAGCAGUCAGAAUAGUAAUCCUCAUGCCUCUUCUGUGAAGUGAACACCUUGUUUGAGAGAACAGCAGCUCGUUUGCAGCUUUUGAGGAGUUGUGUUCUGUAGUGCUGACUUCUCUUUCAUGUUCCAAGAGCACAGAUGAAGAAGCAGCAGCCCAGUCUGUGCAUCUUAGCGUGUUUCCAGUGUUGGAACUUGGACCUUAACAACAGAGAUUAAAACCCCUGAAGCUGAACCAGGUUGUAACAAUUGCCAAAUCAGAAGAAAGCUAGAUGUGACAGCAAAGGGUUAGUUCAUCCUGACAAAGGUGCUUGUGUCUUAAACCUAAGUUCUGAGAGAAUGCAGCAUUUCUGCAUUGGAAGAUGCUCAUAAAUCUAUAAAAAGAGUCAUGAUCAGGAUCCUGGCUUUAAAUAUGUUUAUUGUCUUGUGACUGAGAGGGACUUAACAGAAAAUUAUUUAAAAUCACACAAAUGAAUAAAAGAAACCUGCUGAUGCCUCAUAUGUUAAAUUUUUUAUAUCACAAAGUGUCUGGAAAGUUCACAGACACAGCCAUCAGAAGAAACCUCAUCUUUUUUAGUGCACAGCAUAUUCAUUCUCUUUUGAAAAUGAGCAGGUCCUGAGACAUCUAUACUCUUCAGGGUCACUGGCUUCAGAUUUAUCAUGACAUCCUAACAUAUAGUGUGUUGGUGGUAAUGUACUGACCACUGAACGAUGCUGAAACGCCAAGCUGGUGUACACUGAAUGGAGGGUCAGAAAUCAAAAAAACAUUUACAGACUGGGUCCCUGGAGCUCUCCUUGGAACCAUGCAUGUUCAACAGAAUCUGUUGCAAGUCCCAGUGUUGCAUCCUGGAGCUUAGGUUGAAUAGCUGAUGGCAGAAUGACAUAAAGGAAAUGUUCUUGUAGUUAGCUCUGCAGAAACACAUGGGAGCAUGUGCCUCCAUCAAAGCCUUUCCUUGCCAGCGCUGUGAGUAGAAAACAAGGCACAAGGCCUUUCUGAUCCAGCAGAUGCAAAUGCGUGCAGGUGGAUUGCAGGCAAGAAGCCUUUCAAACUUGAAAUCUGCUCUUAUGCCUCCAUUGAUGCAAGCUCUCUGCAGUGUCACUUCCAAACACAUGCUAGUGAGAAGCCCAACAAAUUUUGACUUGGUUCAUAUUGUUGCAUUCAGAAGAGCUUGGACCUUCAUACGCGCUGACAUCACACUGGUGAUACAGUAUUUGGCUGUAGUUUUUGCUGCAAUUCUUCUCCUCUGACAAACAGCCUCUCUGAAAACACUUUAAGAAACAUCAGCCCGGUUCAGGAUUGUCAUUAACCAGUUCCCAGUCCUCCUUUACCCUCAAAUCACUUCCUGUGGAACAUUAGGUCUUCACACUUAAACUUCCACCAAAGCAUCCCGGCAAAUAAAGAAGCUGUUGGCAUUGUCUCUGUGCUGAAAGCCACCGGUCAUCUUGGAGGCCAGAAGAAAUGGUCCUAAUAUAGUAAUUAGAAGCACUUAGAAUGGUCUUCCCAAAAAGCUUUGUGUGCAUUGUGGUACAGGUAGUAACUCCGAUGUGCUGAGAGGAGCAUGGAGGUUUAUGUUGCACAAAGGAUGGACAUGUUUAUCUUUCUUCUGGUUACUUCUUGCUGACAUAUGCCACUUACUUACAAAUUAAGAACUUGACUUUUUUAAGGCACACUUAAUGUACCAAAGCAGACAGUGAACCCUUCAGGUGGUUUCUGGACUACGUCUCUCAUUUCUGAUACAGGUCUCUGUAUAAAACUGAAAAUGGUUCAAGAAAAUCUACUUAUAAUGUGGUAAAAAAGUUUCAUUGUAUUUCUUUAUGCUUAUUUUUAAUAGCAAAAUAUGCCUAUUUUAAAAAGCUAAUGCAAUUUUAAAGUGAAAAUACAAACUUGAAAUAUGACAUCAAAUAAACUUGACUUGAAACUUCAGUGGUUAAAUAUAUCUGUACCUUAUUUAGCCAAACAGAAACUGUUCACGUUAAAAAAAAAAAAAAAAAAAAAGAUUAAAUUGGAAGAAUGGAAUGCUUUCUAACUUUAGGCUGGUUUUACUGGUUUUACUCUAGGACUCCAUGUUUAUUCUGUGACUGUGGUGGUUUUAUGGAGUCUGUUAUUAGCUAUGAACGUUACUUAGGAAACGUAAUAGAAAACCUAACAUUGCAGCUCCCUACCAGACAGAAGCAAACAGUGACCGAAAUGUUGCUUACACUGUUCUCUUAAAUACAAUUAUAAAGAAUAUAUUACUUCAACAGGAUAAAAGUUUCCCUUUAGAUAAGUUUGUAGAUUUCUUGAUAUACAGCGAAAUCUUAGUAAAAGAGUUACAUGCAGAGUACCGACUAGCAAAAUGUAGGUAGAAUCCUUGUUAAAGAAUUAAAGAGAAACUUCGUUCAGAAAAGAUAGUGUUUAUACAGUUAGGAACUGAUGGGCAUCACAGACCUCAUCUUCCUGCUGUACUGUUGGAACAGAAAAUGAUUGGAAAUGCAUACCAAGCAUAAAUACUUGGCUCUUUUUCAUCUAGAUCUGUAACAGUUGGGCAUUUGCAACUGAGCACAUACGUAAUUGCUAAUGGGAAAUAUUUUCUAUCCUUAAUACAAUUCAUGUUGCAAUACUUUAACUUGUUUGUACUAUAGUCAGAUGGCUCUUUAACUUAAUUUCUUGAAUGGUAGGUACUCAUUUACGGCAACAGCAGUACAUUAAGGGAUUCUAGCAGCUUUUCACUAACUUUGCAUUGGGGAAAUUUUUUGAUCAUUGUUGAUGUGAGGCCCAGAGGACAUUGACUUAACAUGCUGAUUGUUUAAUAGCAUUUAGCAGUAGCAAAAGAUAUGAACUGUGGAGGGAAUGUAGAUAUGUGGAAUUUCAUUAACCAAACUGGAAUUCAGCCAAAACUUAGAUCAACAGUCCCAAUCUUGCAGAAAGCACAAGGGAAUUUCUAAUAGUUGGUAAGUGAACUGAGCUUUCAUUUUGAUGUCACCUUGACAAUUGUGGUGUAAGCAAUCUAAUAGCUACUUUUCUAGGGAAUCUAUUCGGUAAUGUUGUGAAGGAGAUGGUCUGUACCACUCUAGUAAAUUACUAGUAAUUACUAGAGAUUACUGCUGGCAACAUUCUAUCUUGGGUUUAGUUUUCAUAUAAGCACUAAGCUGAACCUUGGCAUUUGAGAACAGGCCAGAGUACAGCUUGAAGUAGUAGAGCUGCAGGCAUAGAAUGGUGCAGUUGCAUGCCCAUUAGAAUUUUUAACGUGCUGGAGUUUUUGGGUUUUUUUCAAUUUUUUCCCACUGUUGUUAUGCAAGUUGUAUAAUGGACUUCAUAAGUUAAUUAGGAAUGGGAUCUUGAGUAUAAAAGUAAGUGCUUUAUUUCUUUUUUUAAUCUAUCUGUUAGCCUGUAGUAAGAGGACAGAAAUACUGAGCAUUAGCUAGUUUACUGAAAAGGCCGACUACUGAUAGCAGCUUUGGUACGCAUAAGGUGUGAUUUAUAGAUGCAAAUUCUAAUUUGUUCUUUAUACCAGCCUAAGGCAGUACAGUUAUUCUGCAGUGAAGUGAAGGAUUUUGGUAUGUCCUUGUGUGAUCCUUCAAUACAAAUAUGACUAUCUAUCAGAUAUACAUCUUUGCCUUACAGAAAAGGAACAAAAUUUAGAUACAGAAACUAAUAAUCUUGACAUGUUUCUUGUUUGUUGUGUAAAACAUCUUGGAAUACUAGUGUUUUAAUAAAAGUAUACAUACUUUUUUCAUUCAGACUGAAGUGGCUAUUGUGUAGAAGUCUAUUAUUAUAAAAUAUUCCAAAUAUAGUUCGAUCUGUACAAUUAGUUUCUAGUACAGCUGUCACAUGUGUCUUCCCAGUCUGCUUCCAUCUCCAAGCACAAUUUUUCUAGGAAUAUCUGAGUUAAUAUGCUUUGAGUUUUCUUCUGUGUAGACCAGGAAACAGUGAUGUUUGUGGGUUUUUUGAAUGUCAACUUAUGUGAGUGUGUGAGGAACUGAGGUGGAGUUCUGUUAUAAAGCUGUUAACCAUGCUUCCUCUUGAACAAAUUGACCUUUUCCUUCUUACUUCCCUUUGCUGUCAGGAAAGAUCUUUCAUAGAGUAGUAGUUCUACAAAGUGCAGCCGUAGCAUAGAUUAGGAGUUGUAACAGAGUCAACAAAGGAUUCUUUGUCUUGUUAUACUCAGGCAAAGAUUCUGUUGCUAUAAAUAAUGCAUGUUUUAAUUAGAAACUGCAAAUGGAAAUACCAGUCUUUAUAGGCUUGUUGAUUUCAGUAUAAUCUGUUAGGGGCAAAUUCUGCUUACAUGCUGAACACACAGCACAUUCUUCAAAUUUGUGGUUGGUUGUUUUUAUUAGUACUACCUGUGCUAGUGAGUUCCUUCCUAUAAAUUAAGAAAAAUGUCAUGCCUAGGUAAUCAUCUGGGAAUUUCUGUCACAGUAUACUAUAAAAGUUACCUUACAUACUGUGACAAAACUGGCUGCCCGUUGAUUUUGAGAGUUCUAGAUUCCAUUUCUCCUGGUUAGUGUUAAUAGGAUCAUGCACCAUAUCAACUGAAAGUAAAUUUAACUAAUAGUAGGGGAUGAAUGUAAAAGCAGAUAAUGAGCAUACUAAUUUCUUGCCAGAUUCCCCUGGGAUUAAUCACGCUGUGCCUGAUGUUCUCCACAGGUUUAGGCAUGCAUGCACAAUUACCCUGGCUAAGCUGAUACCUGGGUAGUUCACGAAGCUGAAAUACCCAUCAGUCAAAGAGAGUGAGCACAACCUUUUUGUGCCUUUUUAAUUAGAUUGGUUUAAAAACGUAGCUGAAGGCCUCUUUUAAACAUAACACUCUACCAACUUCAGUUAAGGUGUCCCAACAGUUACCCGAGUGGUGCAUAAGUGUGAACAGAAAUCUGCAUGAAGGCUGUUAGUUUCCUUUGCACCAGAUUGAUUUUUUUUCUUUACUUUGGAUAAUUUCUGUUUGUAUGCAUUGACCAGUCUUGUUUUAAACUCAUUUGACAGUGUCAACAUGAAAUGUGCACAUUCUUUUUAGUAGUUUAUAGUUGCUAAAACAGUAAGUAAGGCCCCACCCAACUUGUAGAACUGUAGAAAAAAAAAGAGAAACAGAUUAGGGUGGCCCAAUGUCCAAUUGAUGUCCAGUUUGGGCACCCUAAUCUCCUGCUGUUUGUGGGCAAGCCUGAGCAACAUAUCUGUAGAAUGCUUAUAAGAAGUGGAAUUUAGGAAUGAAAUAAGAUUUAAAUAUGUAGAACUCCUAAGCGAUGUGAAAUCCUUCUGUGAGUGACUGAAAGCUGAUUUUAGAAAAUGCUGUAGUAAUACUAGACACCUGGAGCAGCCCAGGUGGGUAUGGAUUGAGUUACAGGUGAGCUGAAGUGUUUCAGAGUCCAAUGCAGAAGAUGCUGACAUUGAGCAAGGAGCCUUCAGAUUAAGAAGCAAGGCUGAAUGUAGGAUUGAGUUUUACCCCUAAUCUUCAGACUUAAGUGCUUCCAGCUGAUCAUGAUUCACUUGUGAACUCUUACCUCCUUGUCUGAUGACUGGAGUUAGCUUUGACAAAACACAGCCAGGGAAAAUCCUGGAGCCUCUACUUUAGUUUACUUGCAUGUGUGAAGAUAUUGCACGGUGGUUCAGAUCAUUCCUUUGCAGAGGAGGGUAGGGUUUCAUAUUCUUUGUUUCCCAAGAGAGUACAAAAAGGUAAAACCUAUUGGAAAUGAGGUUCAUCAAGUGCUCCUAUAAAAGUGUUAUUUAUGCAUGAGGACACCAGGCUUCUAAUUUCUAUUCCAGCGAACAUUUAAAUUUUCUAUAUUAACUGGAACAUGUAUUAAAAAUACAAAGCAAGUCGGGGCAAAAGUUAUAUAAGGAAAAGUAGUUCUGUUUUAUGCAUCAGUCUUUUCAAAUAUACCUGUCCUUUUAGAACAGUAGCAAGAAUAAAGAAGAAAGGUAACUUCCUUCCCUUCCCUUAGAUUCUUCUUGAAAACAAAUUCAGCAUAGCUAAUAAAACUAAAAAAGGUAGGAAGGAGAAGUUUGACUUAGAUGGAAUGCUCAAACCUGUUUUUUGUUGGAGGACCAAUAGUUAAAGCACUGCUUGCUGCAAGGCAAUGUAUUGUAUUAGUCUGUUAUUCUUUUCUUUAUCAUAACUAAAUAGGACGUAGUGCUGUACGUGAUGUACGUUGUUUGAUUGCAUUACUCGAAAGCAUGCUGAAUAAUUUUUCAAGUUUAUUGAUAACCUAAAUCAAUGUUUUUAACUUAGCAUUCCUCUUUUCAAAGGUAAUUCUGCAUAUAACAGAAAAUGUAAAAGGCCAACAGAAAUAAAUUUGCUACUAACACAGCUGCGCGGUCAGUGGAAAAUGUCUUAAACAUUUAUGGAUUAUUUUUCCUCUUUUAAAGUGUAUUGAUAAUUUUCACAAUAAGCAGCUGCCUGUGGACUCUUAGAUACAGAAAACACAUGCCAAGAGAUGGCAUGUGAAGAUGAACAAGCAGACAUGGAUGGGGUAGGUGAAAGUUCCGUGCUGUAAAUGGAUAUUCAGCAUUCUUCUGGGUCGUUGCCUUGAACUCCACACCCAGUGAGUAAUAGUGAUACAGCAGUGACAAACCACUAUUGCCCAGGGAGAAAGAAACUCUUUUUGUGUCCAUAAGCAGGCAUAUUCAAAGGUAUGCCCAUAAGCUGUUUCUCAAAGUGCUGACUGAAUUGAACUGGUCUUGAUUUAUUCUGGUCUGAAUUGUACUGAUUAAUAGCUGUUAGUAGGAACAGAGGAAUUUUCCUUUUGAUAGGUGGGGCUCAUAGCCUUGUCAGUUCAAGUCUUGCUGAAGAACAAAGUGUACUGCUAUAAUUAUUAGUAGUUCUUAUCCCAGGGGAAAGGAAUCUGUAGCACUGCUCUUUUGUGUCAUGAGGAAUACUUGUGACAGAAUUUUCUUCUACUUGCCAGUGUGGAUUGGCAAGAAAUUAUGGCUCCUUGUCCCACCUGUCUCUCCAGUGGCUCCUCUGGCACUGGGGUUACGUGCACUAGCAGCUCUUGUCCAGAAUGAGAUUGCUCAUUCCCAGGUUUUGUUACUGAUGCACUUGUUGUGAGCCAGCGUCCCUCUUUGGCUUCUAGUUUUUAAGGGAUGGGUGUAGCCAGUGUUAGCAAAUUCCAUGCAAUGGUAAAUAGCGAAAUCACUGUUUAUUGUAAUUUUUCUGUUCAUACGCAAAUACAAGGAAAUAAAUAAUGUAAUCUUUUUAUAUCCUAAGAAAGCAUCAGCAAUAGUUGGUGUGACUGGCUUAAGGCAUUUGAUUGUUGUCUGUAUUUCGGAAAUGAUGUCUUGGUGUUUGGAAUGCUUUUUCUUCACUUGCCAUCUGCUAUGUGGAGGUGCAGCAGUUCAGUUUUCACGUGGCACCUUUCAUUUCUGUUUCCUUAGCAGAAAGUGAGCAAUGCAGCACACCUUCCACAAUUAAACCUGUCUUGGUCACUGCUGGAGAAACAGGCAGAAACAGGUCUUUUAAUAGAAACUGUCUCUAAUAAAACUGAGACAAACAUGUCCUGUUAAAGAUUUGGGGAAAUCUCUUAAGGCAAAACGCCUACUUCCUAAGGAUGGACUUCACUUGGCCUUCCUUCUAUUGUACUUUUCUUCCUGUAGAUGACAGAUAUGGUUAAAUGCUGGUACCAGUCAAGUUAUUGAGAGCGAAGCGAGGAUUUCAUGUGCUGCAUCUACAGGCAAUGGCUUUACUCCCCACUCUGCUAGAAGAGGUCAUGCUGGCUGCUACUGAAUCUUUCCAACCUGCUCUUGUAUUAAUUUUGAACUCUCCUGGGUCCAGAUGGGUGGUCUUUCCAAACUUCAGUAGCCUAAAAAGUCAUGCAUCCCAUUUAAAAUUGGGCACCUGGAUUCCUUCUAGAGCUAAUGGAGGCAGUAUUUAUUUCUUAGGAGUAAUUACUCCCACCUGACUGGGAGUUGUGGGGUAGCAAGGUGGUCACUUCCUAGAUGUAACCACAGCAGGAUCUGUUCUAGUAGCUGUUACCUCUGCUCUCUGCAAACCUGAUGUUACAGCAGGAUCUGCUUAGGGACCAUUUUAAGGUUAGAUUUUCAGUAAAAUGAAGUGCCUUGAGUAGUCAAACUGGUUAUUAAAACUCCUUUUUGGGAUCUGUCUGAAAAUUGCAAUGGUAUUAGAAAAAGACUAGUCCCUGCAGUCUACUGCUCAAUGUGGAAUUCAGAUGAAUAAGAAAAGCAGUAUUGUCCAUCAUGAUAUUUUAGAAAGCUCCUCAGACUAAGAGUGGUGAAAGACCCCUACUAUGUGAAAGAUUUGAAGACAGAGUAACAUACUAGCAUAGCUUUUAAGGCCAAAAGAGAUCAUUAGAUCAACAUCUCCCAGGCAGCAUGCAGACCACGUUUAGCUCAGAAGAUAACCUGCCGGUAGUCAUAGCACGAAAUUGGUUUUGCAGUAUUCUCAGUUCCAUGAAUAGCAAAACUAAUGAAGCUUUAUUUCCUCAGUGUGUCUAUGCAUGUCUUGCCUCCUCCCAUGGGAAUUCUGGAAUUCUCUUGUGUCUAAUGCUGUGGCAGAUUUCUCAGGGGAGGCGCGGGAGGUGAGUAGGGAGGGGAUAUGAGAUUCUGUUUAUUUUCACCAAUUAUUUAAGGGUUUAGUGUUUUAGAAACCCCCUUUCUUUCUGUUGGUUAAUAUUUGCCACUGGGUUCCAGAAUUACUAAGAGGCAGUGGACAGACUCAUGUCUAUGUGGAGCACAAAGACACGUGGUUUAUUUUCGUAGGAAACUUGGCAACAAAUUUAGAGUGAGAGGUGUGGUGAUGUGUUAACAGUAUUGAGAAAUUACUAAUUUCAAAGUGUGGUUGGCCCCAAAAAGCACAGAAAGGCACUUGUGUCAGUUCUGUUACAUUGCUUGUUCUCUGUAGUUCAUUCCACAGAACUUCAGUGUGCCAGCUCUGCUUAGACAAGAGGUGGCUUGUGUUUUACGAAAAUACUAUAUAAUUUAAAGCGGAAAAAGAAAUGUACUGCUUCUGUUCAUCAUCUGUCUCAGCAGUGUGUCACAGUUAAGAUUUGCUUAUUUUAUUUCUAAAUCUGUGUUGUUAUUUUUAGCUUUAAUUUUUUAGUAUAGGUUCUUGCAGUUCAUUUCUCUGCUAGGUUAAACAACCCUCUAAGUUUUCACGAUGAAGUGGGGGGGGGGGUGUGUGUGCUGUAAGUGGAUCAUUCUGGAUUUUGUUUUUGAUAAACGCAGCACUUUGAACUCUUUAAGCCCCUGUAGUAGGGCCUUUUCUCUAGCCUUCAUGUUACUAUGGCUUUUCACUCUGUGAUUGUAACCAGUGUGGUCAAAAAGCAAUUUCUAAAUUACUUGUCAGACUCUGUAUGCUUUCUGGCUGGCAAAUAACCUGCAGAAAGAGAGUGAUAUCCUCUUUCCUAUCUGCUUUGCACAAUAAAAACAUAAGAUAAUGUAAGAAUGGCAACAUCAACUGUUUGGGGUUUUUUCCAAUGUGGCUGUGAAGAUGCUAGCACAGUACAAGCUGUAAAACAAGCUAAUUUAUGGAGUUGCAUUUUUAUAAUGUUUAGCUUUCCUUUUACAGCUCUUGCAUUCAUUAGCAAGUAUUUGUUGAACCACGCUGUUCCUUUGAGAUCCUCAAAUACCCUGCUCAAAGCCAGGCAGUGUGUGCAUUCAUGAAGAUGUUGGCCUAUCACAAUGUUUCAAUUUUUCUCUCUAUGAAAACCAAUUUAAACUUAUUAUUGCCAGCUGUUCCUUUCUACGUGUCAUUAGCGAUCCUGAUUGAUGCAACUCUUUGCCCUGUAGAGGGGAAGCAUCAGGCUUGUUCUGUUAUGUUAACUUGUCUGACAAACUACCAUCACAGAAGAUUUAAAGCUGUAAGCAGAAAAAGCAUGUGUUUUACCAGAGUUUGCUCUUUUAAAAAUGUCUUUGGAAGUAAUAGUUUAUUAAUUUAUUAAUUACAAUAAUAAACAAAUGUUAUUAAGUUUACAGUUUGUCUCAGUUUUAUCCAGAAUUGUCAUCCUGUUGUGGGUUUUUUUGGUAAAUACUUGCAACAGUUUUGUUAACUUGCCCCUGUCUGAUGCAUGAAAGAGUCAUCUCUGGAACAGUGGCUGUUCCACGCAGACACAGUGAUCUGCUUAAUCCUUAGUCUCUGAGGAUAAUCAAUAGAUACAAGUUAACUAUUUCACCUUAUGGCUAAACAUUAAUUAUGCAGAAUGUGCUAGUGUCCUUUUUUUUUUUAGGAGCAUUUUAACUGCACAUAUUCAGUGAUUAAGUGCUGGCAGGUCAUUUUCUUUGUCUGCUGCUGCAAAGCAAAGUUAAAACUUAGCUGGCAGCAACUGUGCCUCUAGCUGAGUGAUAAGUUGUAUGGGUUUAAGACAACGCUACUGACAGAAAGGAUAGGUUGAAAAUCAGAUUCUUUUGUUGUUACAAAACAGCCAGGCUAGAAUGAAAUGGCAGUAGUUCAAGCACAUGCUAGACAAACCAUAUGUUCCUUACAGUGAAAUGAAGUGGUGUUGUAUAUCGGUAUUGCUAAGCAUAAGGACAACAGCUCCAGCUUCCAGAACUGCUGGCAGGAGUCCUACCUAGAAGAAAUGUACUCUUUCUUUGUCCUUUAAAAGUCAUUUAGGAGUGAAGCCAACAUCUGUUUCUGCCCAUCUCAUGUUAGAGCAAGAUGUACUGGCAAAACAUGCCUGAUUUAAGGGAGUGGACAUAAUUAAUAAAUUUCAACUAUAUAUGCAACUGAGUUCUAAAACAGACAGCUAAAAUAAUUACAAAACUAUCACUUCUUGAAUACAGGACUGCAAAGAAUCUUGUGGGUCAUUGAAUCUCAUCUCUGUUCUCCCAAGAGUUAGAUGAAUUCUGGUUAAUUUAUCAAAUUCCAUUUUGGGAUUUGUCAUUUGCUCACCCAUUGGAAAAUGGCUCCAGCGUUCUGAUUCUCUCCUACCUUAAAGUCAUCUUCCUAUUCUCACCACAAAUUCUGGACAUUUUCUGUGUUUUGAUGUCUGUAUACAUUUGCUCUUAGAGCUCUUCUUUUUCUCCCUCAUGCUUCUUUUGAGAGUGCUUUUCUAGAGAGCAUGCUGUCUUCUGCAGAGCCAGAAGCAACAGAAACACUUCUCUGGUAAACUGAUAUUUUAGAUGAGACUUCCUUUAUGAUCUGUGUUUGACGCCUUAGAUAUGAUACUAAGUUCAAGAGAAGCCCAGUCUUAAGAACAUGUCUAUAUUAACUGUGAACACACUCUUUUUGGAUUGGAGCAGUGUGUUUUCCCCCAAGGGUUCUCCAAAUAUGUUUUAGACUAUCACUAACGGUGAGGGAAAAUAGUAAUGGGAACAGUCAAAUCAAAAGUUGUGUAUCUGCAGGCCAUCUUCAGUGAAGAAGAAAUGAGAGAUUUGUUACUGAGGAUAUAUUUUCUCAGCCUGUGGGCUUUUGUGGAACUCUUGGCUGAGUAAAAACACAGGGACCAGGCCUAAGACAGCUACUUGUAACCUUAUAUAAGUUUAAAUGCCAGCAAUUGGCAGCUGAUUUGUCACUUUUCUAAAACUACAAAAUCUGUGCUAAAACAUUGCUGGUAAUGGUGGAAUAAGGAUGCAGAGUCAGCAAUGUGAAAUAUGUUAAGUCAACUGUUUGUGUGUAGUGUAAUAUAUUGAGGAAAUUCCAGCUGUAAGGUGUGUUGUCUGUGUUUAAGACUGUCCCCAGGUGAAAUACUGUCUGCCUGUGCUGCUGGACAUGGAAAACUUGAUCUAGAAAGUGGAAACAGGCCUCUGUUACUUCACUUGAAUGUUAGCAUUGAACUUAAUGGAAGCUUAAUUUUAGCCUACCCUUAAAAUUUCAUUUUAAUCUUUUCUAAUUAAAGUCACUUAAAAUCGAACUCCAUAAUUGUGUGUUUGACCUGGGGUACAAGUAUCUUGGGCCUUGUCCAGAUUGUGUAAGGAGGGUGAGGUAAGGUGAUCACUGGCAGAAAUCCAGAUGGAAAACACAUUCCCUGUAUCUUUUCCAGGCAAGGGUUUCUUCAACCUGUUAACUAAGGCUGAUGCUUCUUCAGUGUUUCUUCUUAUUGUAGAGAAAUCCUCAGUGAAUAGCAAAUGUCUUGUUCUCAUCUGAAAGCUCGAUUUUUGUGCUUCACUGCUGGCUACUUUUGGGCACACCAUUAACAGUGGUUUAGAGAAAUGCUCAAUUGCUCUAUGGCUGGGAGAGGAGUUUGAGAUAAUGGGUGGAGAAAAAGUGCUGAUUGAAGACCUAGCUGUUGACGCUUUAGAGCUGUGUAGUAGAAAAGGCAGUUUAUCCAGCAUGGAAGUGGUGAGUGAGCCUAAUCAUCUGUGGGUAGAUUUGCUGGAAGGCUGUGGUUUUUGUCCUUGUCGAGGAAGAAAACCCAAAUCUUUUAAAGGCUUAUCAUUCCAGCUUUACAAUUUGCAUGACCUUAAUGAGUGACUGUACACACCUGAAUUAUUGUAUCUCCAUAGGAGGAUAAUUGUAUGAUCUCAUCCUUUUCACAAAUCCCAUUGUCUUUUAUGUGGUGCUUUAACUAAAUCAGAACAGAGAUAAAAACUCAUAAGCCCUGCUGUGACUCAGGCAUGGGUAAGACAAUGACAACGCAGGCAAAUGCUGAAGGAAAUUGCUCAGACUGAGAAGUGUAGCUAUACACUGUUCAUUACCCACCCCUGCCUUCCUAUGCCCACACCCUCAGGAUCUUUCUCUGCUUGUUUCAGGUCAUGAUGUUAUUAGCUCUGGUACUGUGCUUUGCAUACUGGGUAGCAGAAUGAAGUGCAUGUCAGAAGGUAAAUCUCACAUGUUCACUUUGGCUUUGCCCUCUGACUUUUGCACUCUUGGGUUUGGUUAUGAUGUCAUGUGCUAAAAAGUAGAGGAGAUGAAGCCAUUAGUAACAAGUCAUUUCCUUCUUUUCUUAUUUUCUAUUCAUGUUAGUGACUCUGUUAGUGAAAUGCUUUCACUCUGAUCACUCUGCGUCGAUCUUGCCUGAAGUUGUGUGUUGUGCUGACUGCUGUCCAGGAAAGGAGAAAACAAUUUAAACUCUCCAUGCAGUGACAACUGAAAUAAAAGCCAUGGGAACUGCUAAGCAACUUGGUGAAGUGUGAGGAGCAUGUGGCUUGGUGGUUUCCUCAGUGCUGACAACUAACGUAAGGGACCAAUUUCGGCUUAGCCCUAUGGGUAUGCAGCAGAAGUAGUAGGAAACCUACAGAAUCAGGAUAAACUAGUAUAUACCCCAAACUUAGUCACUGAUCUCCCAAGAAAGCAUGAGAAGUACAGAGGUGCUAGAGGGAGGCUUAAGACUGGGAAAUGGCAUUGUGUUAUGUUGUUUGACUUGUACUGUGUGUAUCAGUACAGGUUUUUGAGGUCAGGUCUGUAGCUGGUAGAAGUCGUGAUAGUAAAAAGUGUUGACACCAAUUUUCCUUAUAAUUUAUUUUUCUGAAUCACAUGGCAACUGCAAAGGAAUUUGUUCUCAUUAGCAUGAGGCAAAAAUCUUAAACGCUUGGAUAAUUCAAGUAAAAAACCUAACAUAUCUUCAGAUGAAAAUGUAACUUUGGUCCACCUGCAAACUGUCCAACCCAGUCACGUUAAUGGAAUAUAGUUCAUCAUCAGUAGCAGCAGGGACAUCUAUAGCCAGAUAGAAGCAGACUUCUGUUGACACAGCAGUAUUAGCCAGGGAUAUGAGAAGGUGUGAGCUGUGGCUAGUGGAGCCAGGCUUGGAAAAACCUCCAAAUGCAAAUGCAGUUACACCUAUGUAAGUGUUGUAGUGUUAUAGGAUGUCUUUCAGAAGGGUUGCCGAAUACAGUGAUUGUGCUGCUGUUAAGUUACAUCCCCAUUAGGCAUGCACUGUUGGCUGCAUAGGCUGAAACAGUUACUCCAGCAGAAGGUCUUAUUAGUCUAGAUCAGAUAUAUAAUCUUUUAAGACCUGACUUCUUUAUUACAGCAGUUAAUAAUUAGCAGGCUUUAGGUAAAUGGGGGAUCUGAGGCUUUCAGCAAACUGUGGAAGACUGGAUAAAGCUGCCAAAACCAGCCCGUGCAUCAUGGCACUUGUAAAAUAGUAAUUACAGACCCCCUUGCAAGCACAACACAGGAGAAAAGUAGAUUUUAAAAAGUAUGUGUUUUAUUCAUAAAUCAGUAGGUUGCCGGGUUUUAAUGCUGAUUUUUGUCAAGAGUUACCAAAAUACAUGAUGUGUAAUACCAAGGGAAGUAGAAAUGUUUUGCAGGGAUUUAAAAACAUAAUACAAUGUUUGGGUUUGAGUGAUGAAGGAGAAGCAAUACUGCAUCUCAUCUAAGUUUACCCUGCAACCUAACUCCCAGUGCUUUUGCAGUCCAUCCCAGUCCCAAAACCAUGUACCUCCCUGGGAACAGCAGGUGCUUCACAUCUAACAGAGCUCUUUUCUCCUUCCCCUUCCUUAUUUAUGGAGCGUUUCUCCUUGUCUGGAAAAAGUGCUGGUGAUCUUUUGCCUAGUUAAAAAUAAACAAGGUUCCAGAAAUGAAUAAUAAACAGAGCUAGUAAUAUUAAAUAAGCAAGCUGCUCUCUUAGAGGAAGAAUGAAGAAAUAAAACUAACUUUUUCUAGCUAUUUGCUUUAUUUUAACAACAUGAUUUGCAGUAAUGCUUCCAGCACAGGGAUUCUUAGAGAGUUAUAACUCUUCUGCUCUGUAAUUUGUUGCAGUUUUGGACAAUCUAAGCACUGAUACUGAUGGCAGAGUGGGGAAAGUGUGACAAAUUUGUUCUUAUGUGUACACUAGCACUUGCAUUAAUCUCUAGUUUAUAUGUGCCCGGAAGGAUUCACAUCCCUCCCCUCCACGUAUGGUCUCCAUGUGUCUGAGAUUUGUUACAUUCCAGUCAAUGCAGCAUAAAUCCUUAUUAGAUAGGUCGUAAUGAUUCUUGCUAUUCAGCUAGGGCAUGUAUCUGAUGACUGUAUCCAUUUACUAGUAGAAUUUGAAGGAGGCUUCUAUUGAAACUUAUAAUAAAGCAACCUUUGGAUUUUUAAUCUCUCUAACUAGUUUUAUUAAUUCUUCCUCUUCACACUGACUUCUUAAGGCAUCUCUGUGAAUAUGUUGCCAAAUUAAGACGUUGCAGAGAAAAAUAUCAGAAGAGAAGAAAAAACCUUCAGAGGCAAAAGAAAGAAUUUUUUGUAUGUGUGAUCUGAAAUGAGGCUGAGAACUAGUGAAGUGAAGUACCACCAGGAAAACUGCUACAGUCAACACUGCUGGUGAGAGCUGUAGUGGAACACCUUGUUUCGGUAGGCAGAUGAAGAAACCUUGAGGCUCUGUUUCUCUGCAACACAUCUGGGACACUUAAACCCAUUUUUAAUGACAUAAAGACAAAAGGAUGGAAAAUGAGGCUUAACUGCUAGUUUUAGUGUAAUACAGUAAAUGAUCCUAGGGCCUGAUCCGGUGAUGUGGUGAGCAUUCUUCAACGUCAUCCAGUAAAAGCAAACAAGGAAAGUGAACUUUUUCCAUAUGGACUGCCACAGAUGAUUCACUGCAUGUCCAAAUAUUUCGUGGGAAAACACACUAGCUAAUAACAUUUAGGGUAAGCAAGAUUAUGAGCUCCUCUCACUGAUCCAAAACUGUCAUCCCUGCUCUGCUUUAAAAAAAUCUUCUCUAGAAUUUCUGCUGUGUAUCUCUUCAGGAGAUAUUUUGGGGCAUGAAUUCUUGUUUUACCCUUCAAGUUUUCUAUUUGCUGUUACAGUGUCUCUUGUGAAGGCCAAUGGAAAGUGAUUUUGAAGUCAUUCAGCAUGGGCCAUCCACUGUGGUUUGGUGUCUGUUAUGUUGCUGAUCAGGUUAGCACCAUUGAACUGUUGUGUGUGCUUAUCACAGGAGACAAACAAGCAGAUUUGCUGAGAGCGAGGGACAUCUUUACACUUAAAAACCCCCAAAUUCUGGUUAUGUCAGAUGGGCUUUGUAGAAAAUGUUACUACUCGACACGCUUACUUAAGAAAGGCUUUAGUAUUUGAAACCCCCAAUCUUACCCGUGGGUCGAUGUUGUUGUCAAUCUACAUUCUGUAAGCCUUGGAAAAAAUAAUGUAGUUUUGAUAGUUAUUAUGUGAUUUGGCCUGCAUCAGAAAUAUGGCUUUAAUUCAGAGUUUACUAAAAAAACUGGGAAGUGUCUAAAUGUAAAAGGUUGAAUUUGCUUCCUUCCUGGCAUAAAAAAUAACCAACCAGCCCUUUGCCCCCAGAUAGUACUGAUUUGUGGGGGAGUGAGCUAAGGAACUUAACCCUCCAAAGUAGAUGGACAUUCUGAAAGAUUAGUUUUAUUAAUUUAAAUAACUAUACAGUUACUUAUAUAUUUAUAAGUAUAUAUUUAUAAGUUGCAGAUAUCUGUAUUUAUUGUUGAAGUCUCUAAAAUCUGGUUUCCAGAUGGCAGUCUGGUAGGUUGUCUUAUCACCAAACUUACUCCCUCUUAUUGAUGGAGGGGUUUAAAACCAAGUUCACUCUCAGAAUGUAAAGUACAGAGCAGGAAUCACUAGCUACCUGGAACAGGCAAGGAAGUUUCAUGUGAGGAUGAGAAGUUGAGAAAUUUUAGUACAUCAAGCAAAAGAAGAGACAAGAUUUAAAACUAGUAGCAGG